CCGACAGGCGUAGUCGAUGGACAACGGGUUGAUAUUCCCGUACCGGCGAAGAACCGCCCAAGCUAAUCCAGUAGUGCUAAGUGUCUGAAUCCCAGUGACUGAUCCCUUCGGGGUGACGCUCUGGGCCUAGCGCACGACCCCAUUCUGGUGCGGUUAGCGUAUUAACAGGUGUGACGCAGGAAGGUAGCCCAAGCCAGGCGAUGGUUGUCCUGGUGCAAGUGCGUAGGCCGAGUCGUAGGCAAAUCCGCGAUUCACAUAGGCUGAGACACGAUGCGGAUAAAAAGUGGGUGAUCCUAUGCUGCCAAGAAAAGCAUCGACGCGAGGUUCUAGCCGCCCGUACCCCAAACCGACUCUGG
RNAcentral lists this ribosomal RNA (356 nucleotides) under Microbacterium oxydans. Its description in RNAcentral is "bacterial LSU rRNA". It matches the Rfam family "Bacterial large subunit ribosomal RNA", at positions 1402 to 1663 of the family's 2925-position model. Lineage: Bacteria; Bacillati; Actinomycetota; Actinomycetes; Micrococcales; Microbacteriaceae. The record is from RNAcentral.